Long non-coding RNA from Ostrea edulis (European flat oyster), 4116 nucleotides. RefSeq lists it as uncharacterized. NCBI's taxonomy places the organism in Eukaryota, Metazoa, Mollusca, Bivalvia, Ostreida, Ostreidae. The transcript has 2 exons. The record is from RefSeq and is a predicted model, not a curated record.
CAUCAAAUUCAACUUCCGGUGUCAACGUCGCUUCCGGGUGAAAGUUACAACCAGACGGCUUUUUCAGCUACACUCCAUAUUUUUGCCAUUUGUCAGCUCAAAUCAAGUCAACCAUGGUGGACUACGGUUCUGGACCAGUGAAGGAGAGCAUCGACAACACGGUGUUUAUCAUCCCAGGAAUUAUAGUCCUUUGUUUAGUCUCUUUCUUCGCCUACAAGUUGUACAAAAGUCUAAGAGAAAAGGAGAAAGCAAAGGAGGAAAAGAAAAAGAUGAAGCAGCAGAGGAAAGAGAAGGAACAACAGAAAAAACAAAAGAAGAAAUUAUGAUUAUGUAAACAUAGAGCAAUUUUACUAUUAGCAGCUAAAUUAUUUUUGUGACUUAAUGUUUCAACUAGACUGUGUACAUGAAAGAAGCAAGAGAGAAUAAAAGAGAACAUUUGAAAAUAGACUGAAUAAAAAAGAAAAAAAUCACUUCCAGUAGCUGUUACUCCCUGCAUGGCUGGACUUUUUUUAUUCUUCAAUUUUUAUACCUGGAUGAUAAGAAAAUUUCAGUAUUACAUAUGGAUUUGAGUGUAAAAAAUAUUUCAAUGGUUGCAAAUGCUUUUUUUGUGUUAACCAAUAUCAUGUGAAUGCAUUGUCUGUUUGUUUGCUGCUGUAUGUUACACUAAAAUUCAGUCAAACCUUAUAACUGUGAUCAGCCAUGGUAUCCAAAUUCUAGAGACGUCUGUCGAAGAAGUGUUUCAAAACCACAUUAUUGUUGAAUAUGUCAUCAAAAUAUUCAGUAAAACCACUUGUAUAGAUUACAAAGUGAUGUUUGAUUAAGAAAAAUCUGUAUUCUGUAAGAGUUCAAAAUGACGUGUGUUAUGAAGCUUCAGUGGUUGAUUACAUAAAAGUGAUUUUUUUAAGAAUGACAUAUAAAAUUAUGUUACAAGAUUUAUGAUAUUGUCUUUGAUAAUGUAAAUAUUAUAUUGGUUGUGUGAAGUGGCAUCCAUGAAACAUUCUACUGGUUAGUGCUUUGUGUUAGGGGUAAAGUCUAAAUAUAUGUACAUACAUUGAUUAAUUUUAGCAAUAAUUAACAUGAAUUAAUACACCAUUGUUGGAUACCCACCAUUGAUUUGGUCAUCUUGGGUGAUCAGUAGAAGACAAAACUGUUGGUAUUCACUAUGAAAGCAGACAUGUUGUAAACCAAGUAUCCAUAGCAACAUCUCGUAUUUGUGAUUCAUCAUGUGAUAACCCAAUGGUAGCUUUUCAAUUACAAAAUACAUUAGCAUAUCAUAAAUCAAGUCUCUCUUUAAUCUUAUGGAUAAUUCUCAUGUGAGAUUGAAAAUUGCAGUACAGUGUUACUUUUUCAUAAAUUAAAAAUGUUUUUAAAAUUCUUUUUAGGUAGAUACAUUCAGUUUUUAUACAUUCCUAGUGUGAUGUGCAUUCUUCCUCUGAAACUAGUACAACAAUUCUACUACUUUUUAUUGUAAAAAUAUACUAAUGUCUCGUCAUCUACCACUGUAAUAGUCAAUAUCCCCCGCUGUUGGAUAUUCAUUCGAUACAUAAAAAAAUCAUUUCACUGAUAUCUCGAAAUUCUGAAUGAGUUUUGUACUGAUGCAAUCACGAGUAUACGAUAUCACAAAAUAGGCACUCAAUCCGUGUCUGGAUUGUAAGUGGAAAGAGUGAGAAACUGAUUUUGAAAAUGGCAAGCAAGUUUCAAGCAGUAGCACAGUUGGCUUAUAAUAUCCAGUAAAACAUGCUUAUAUUCUCGAAUUCACACCUACUGCGAAGGGAUAUUAAUUCCCCUAUGAGAGGAAAAUAAUGAUAAUUUUAUUGGAUAUAUUGAAGUUUGGUUAUAAUGAACUGGUUUUCACUGGCCCUGGAGGUUCAUUAUAACAAUGUUUCACUGUAUAUAUACAAAACAGCAACAUGUAAUACUUAUUGAUUGAAAUAUUUUUUUUUUGUAUAAUCAAAAUGCAGGAAAAAGUAAUGUGUAAAGAGUUCUACUUAUGGGAGAUUUCUGUAUUGUCUAUGAUAUAGGGGGCUUUAAUUAAGAAUAAAAUUGUUUUUAGUGAAUGGAUGAAAUAUAUUACUUUAGCAGAGAAAACUUGCCUCCAUUGCAUUGUAGAUAAGCCACCAAUCUUGUGUUGAAAGUAUUACUUGUGAAAUGCAAUUUUGUUCUAUUGUUUUUUUUAAUUGCCCCAGUAUUGGUAAUGACUGUGUGUGAAGGUGUACAAACACCAUGUAUCUUGUUUACAUUUUAUAGAUUUUAUUUUUGAACUUGUUGGAUUUGCACUUGUAUCACUAAAGCUCUUGUAAGGACACACUAGGGUGAUCUAAAAAUAGAACUGAACUUCAAUUUUUAAGUGUUAUUUUAGUGGAAAACAUUCCUUUUCAAAUUUGUCUGAUACACAUAUCCAUCAGGUUACAACAUUGUGAAGCUUCUAUUUCAUCACGUGGUGUAAUAUAUUGAACAAGCAUGACUUUUAUUGAUAACAGUAUAAAAAGGUUAAGGGUUAAGGCAACUUAUUACAAAGUUUUGAAUAUAGAUUUCAAGUAACAGAUGAUUUUUCUUAUCACUUAUAAGUCAGGAAACUUUACCAUUAGAUUUUCCCUGAAAAGGAAUUAAGAGAUUCUUAAUGAAUUUCAACUGAAAAAGUCAAAGUUUAACAAGUUUUAAAAGGUUUCUCCUCAUUUGCUGUUAUUAAAUUGAUAUAGAAAUAUAUAAUUCAGGUGGAACAAGAACGCUUAUUUUAGAGGUUAAAAGUAAGAUUAACAGGACCUAUAGAUGAAAAAAAAAUUGUUUCUAGCGUAUAUGACUCAUUUUCCUUUUCAAAUGGAUUCAUGAAACUUCAUUCAUAGACUUUUCAUGGGAAAAGGGUGACCACAAAUGUUGGAAAAUUUAGGGCUUGAUCCAAUUUCUUUUUUGUUUAAACUAGAAGCAAUAAAAGAAUUGGAUAGGUUACAUAUGGAUUUUUUGGUUCCAGCUGACAAAGCUUGUAACAACAUUGUCUUUGUAAGACUAAUUCACGUGUAUAAUUCUAAAAGAACUUGGCAUUAAUUCCACAUUUUGUAACCCCCCCCCCCCCCCCCACCCCAUUACUAUGAAGCUUCACCCUGAAUUUCAAUAGGAUGAAAAUAUUAGGGGGGGGGGGGGUGUUCUUAGUUAAAAAAAGCUUUACACAAGAUAAUGCCACAUACUCCCUAUAGAAUUUGGGUUAGUGAUUUUUAUCAGAUUUUUUUCUAAUGAAAAUGUUUUUUGGGAUUUAAAUUUCAUGACCAUCGAGCAACACCAUGAAACUGCUUUUAUUAAUGUGCCCAUGAUUUUUAUGUAAACCUUUGAUUUGACCAAUUCAUUUUCAUUUGGACAUUUUACCAAUUGCAUAUGUAAAAUGCAUAUUAUCAUUGUAAAUAAUACUCUUCUGUGCUUGCAGGUAAAUGGGGCAGGUAAAAGGGGGCAUAACAAGGCAUUGAGUUUGCACAUGCUACAACUGUGUUUUUGUUUGGCAGAAAUUAUUAUUAUUUAAUCUUUAUGAUAAAUAGGUAAAAAAUGAUGUCUUUCUCCAAUAUAUUUUGAAAACAAAAUCACAUGAUAUAAAUAUCAUUUAGAAACAUAGUCUGUAAUAUAAUUAUCAUAUUUUCAUUAAUUUCACUUGACAAAGUGAUCUUCCAUAAACAGUUGAUAUGACAACCCAUGGGUGGAUCCAGGUAAAUUGCAUACUAGGAGGUGUGCUUUUAUCAACCAAAUUUGGGGGAGAGGGGGGUCAAAGAGGCAAAAAAUUACCACUUUCAUUUAAAAUAUUUAGUCAAGGGAGGGGUGCAACCCAGCCCAACCCCCCUCCUAAGUUCGUCGCUGCAAUAAGUUUUUACUGAAUUGACCAAUAAAAAAUAAAAAUGAAUUCAAGUACAAUGUACCAUGCACACUCGUAGAGAGAUAUCCCAUGACUUUAUGUUAGUCAUACGUUUAAAGAAAGUUGUGGCAUAUCUCUGUAUUUCAGUGAGAGACUUGUCUUUUUUUUUUUUUUACCUUAGUGUUGUACAAGAUAUACCUAUAGAAACCUAUGUAUGUUGUACUUAUCAUGUUUUCAAAAUUGAAAAUAAUUAUGUAAGAAUAAAAUGUUUUAUCAAACUUUGA